Molecule: transfer RNA, 71 nt
Filed under: Ictidomys tridecemlineatus (thirteen-lined ground squirrel)
Lineage: Eukaryota; Metazoa; Chordata; Mammalia; Rodentia; Sciuridae
Also listed under: 1 other name
Description: Spermophilus tridecemlineatus (thirteen-lined ground squirrel) tRNA
Rfam family: tRNA
About the family: Transfer RNA (tRNA) molecules are approximately 80 nucleotides in length. Their secondary structure includes four short double-helical elements and three loops (D, anti-codon, and T loops). Further hydrogen bonds mediate the characteristic L-shaped molecular structure. tRNAs have two regions of fundamental functional importance: the anti-codon, which is responsible for specific mRNA codon recognition, and the 3' end, to which the tRNAs corresponding amino acid is attached (by aminoacyl-tRNA synthetases). tRNAs cope with the degeneracy of the genetic code in two manners: having more than one tRNA (with a specific anti-codon) for a particular amino acid; and 'wobble' base-pairing, i.e. permitting non-standard base-pairing at the 3rd anti-codon position.
Source: Rfam by way of RNAcentral
GGGACUGGAACUCAGUGGUAGAGUGCUUGCCUAGCAUGCAGGAGGCCUUGAGUUCAAUCCUAGCACUGCCA